Molecule: ribosomal RNA, 2927 nt
Filed under: Klebsiella michiganensis
Lineage: Bacteria; Pseudomonadati; Pseudomonadota; Gammaproteobacteria; Enterobacterales; Enterobacteriaceae
Description: 23S ribosomal RNA
Rfam family: Bacterial large subunit ribosomal RNA
Source: RNAcentral
GGGUUGUGAGGUUAAGCGACUAAGCGUACACGGUGGAUGCCCUGGCAGUCAGAGGCGAUGAAGGACGUGCUAAUCUGCGAAAAGCGUCGGUAAGGUGAUAUGAACCGUUACAGCCGGCGAUGUCCGAAUGGGGAAACCCAGUGCAAUUCGUUGCACUAUCGUUAACUGAAUACAUAGGUUAACGAGGCGAACCGGGGGAACUGAAACAUCUAAGUACCCCGAGGAAAAGAAAUCAACCGAGAUUCCCCCAGUAGCGGCGAGCGAACGGGGAGCAGCCCGGAGUCUGAAUCAGCUUGUGUGUUAGUGGAAGCGUCUGGAAAGUCGCAGGGUACAGGGUGAUACUCCCGUACACUAAAACGCACAGGUUGUGAACUCGAAGAGUAGGGCGGGACACGUGGUAUCCUGUCUGAAUAUGGGGGGACCAUCCUCCAAGGCUAAAUACUCCUGACUGACCGAUAGUGAACCAGUACCGUGAGGGAAAGGCGAAAAGAACCCCGGCGAGGGGAGUGAAAAAGAACCUGAAACCGUGUACGUACAAGCAGUAGGAGCCCACUUGUUGGGUGACUGCGUACCUUUUGUAUAAUGGGUCAGCGACUUAUAUUCUGUAGCAAGGUUAACCGAAUAGGGGAGCCGCAGGGAAACCGAGUCUUAACUGGGCGUUAAGUUGCAGGGUAUAGACCCGAAACCCGGUGAUCUAGCCAUGGGCAGGUUGAAGGUUGGGUAACACUAACUGGAGGACCGAACCGACUAAUGUUGAAAAAUUAGCGGAUGACUUGUGGCUGGGGGUGAAAGGCCAAUCAAACCGGGAGAUAGCUGGUUCUCCCCAAAAGCUAUUUAGGUAGCGCCUCGUGAAUUCAUCUUCGGGGGUAGAGCACUGUUUCGGCUAGGGGGUCAUCCCGACUUACCAACCCGAUGCAAACUACGAAUACCGAAGAAUGUUAUCACGGGAGACACACGGCGGGUGCUAACGUCCGUCGUGAAGAGGGAAACAACCCAGACCGCCAGCUAAGGUCCCAAAGUCAUGGUUAAGUGGGAAACGAUGUGGGAAGGCCCAGACAGCCAGGAUGUUGGCUUAGAAGCAGCCAUCAUUUAAAGAAAGCGUAAUAGCUCACUGGUCGAGUCGGCCUGCGCGGAAGAUGUAACGGGGCUAAACCAUGCACCGAAGCUGCGGCAGCGACACUAUGUGUUGUUGGGUAGGGGAGCGUUCUGUAAGCCGUUGAAGGUGGCCUGUGAGGGUUGCUGGAGGUAUCAGAAGUGCGAAUGCUGACAUAAGUAACGAUAAUGCGGGUGAAAAACCCGCACGCCGGAAGACCAAGGGUUCCUGUCCAACGUUAAUCGGGGCAGGGUGAGUCGACCCCUAAGGCGAGGCCGAAAGGCGUAGUCGAUGGGAAACAGGUUAAUAUUCCUGUACUUGGUGUUACUGCGAAGGGGGGACGGAGAAGGCUAUGUUGGCCGGGCGACGGUUGUCCCGGUUUAAGCAUGUAGGCGGAUGUUCCAGGUAAAUCCGGAACGUUAUCAACGCUGAGGUGUGAUGACGAGGCACUACGGUGCUGAAGUGACAAAUGCCCUGCUUCCAGGAAAAGCCUCUAAGCAUCAGGUAACAUCAAAUCGUACCCCAAACCGACACAGGUGGUCAGGUAGAGAAUACCAAGGCGCUUGAGAGAACUCGGGUGAAGGAACUAGGCAAAAUGGUGCCGUAACUUCGGGAGAAGGCACGCUGAUGGUAGGUGAAGUGACUUGCUCAUGGAGCUGAAAUCAGUCGAAGAUACCAGCUGGCUGCAACUGUUUAUUAAAAACACAGCACUGUGCAAACACGAAAGUGGACGUAUACGGUGUGACGCCUGCCCGGUGCCGGAAGGUUAAUUGAUGGGGUUAUCCUCGCGGAGAAGCUCUUGAUCGAAGCCCCGGUAAACGGCGGCCGUAACUAUAACGGUCCUAAGGUAGCGAAAUUCCUUGUCGGGUAAGUUCCGACCUGCACGAAUGGCGUAAUGAUGGCCAGGCUGUCUCCACCCGAGACUCAGUGAAAUUGAACUCGCUGUGAAGAUGCAGUGUACCCGCGGCAAGACGGAAAGACCCCGUGAACCUUUACUAUAGCUUGACACUGAACACUGGUCCUUGAUGUGUAGGAUAGGUGGGAGGCUUUGAAGUGUGGACGCCAGUCUGCAUGGAGCCAUCCUUGAAAUACCACCCUUUAAUGGCUGGUGUUCUAACGUGGGCCCCUGAUCGGGGUUGCGGACAGUGUCUGGUGGGUAGUUUGACUGGGGCGGUCUCCUCCUAAAGAGUAACGGAGGAGCACGAAGGUCAGCUAAUCCUGGUCGGACAUCAGGAGGUUAGUGCAAUGGCAUAAGCUGGCUUGACUGCGAGCGUGACGGCGCGAGCAGGUGCGAAAGCAGGUCAUAGUGAUCCGGUGGUUCUGAAUGGAAGGGCCAUCGCUCAACGGAUAAAAGGUACUCCGGGGAUAACAGGCUGAUACCGCCCAAGAGUUCAUAUCGACGGCGGUGUUUGGCACCUCGAUGUCGGCUCAUCACAUCCUGGGGCUGAAGUAGGUCCCAAGGGUAUGGCUGUUCGCCAUUUAAAGUGGUACGCGAGCUGGGUUUAGAACGUCGUGAGACAGUUCGGUCCCUAUCUGCCGUGGGCGCUGGAGAAUUGAGGGGGGCUGCUCCUAGUACGAGAGGACCGGAGUGGACGCAUCACUGGUGUUCGGGUUGUCAUGCCAAUGGCAUUGCCCGGUAGCUAAAUGCGGAAGAGAUAAGUGCUGAAAGCAUCUAAGCACGAAACUUGCCCCGAGAUGAGUUCUCCCUGACUCCUUGAGAGUCCUGAAGGAACGUUGAAGACGACGACGUUGAUAGGCCGGGUGUGUAAGCGCAGCGAUGCGUUGAGCUAACCGGUACUAAUGAACCGUGAGGCUUAACCUUACAACGCCGAAG